This 2054-nucleotide long non-coding RNA is filed under the name Nicotiana benthamiana. Its description in RNAcentral is "long non-coding RNA (NBEN_LNC023531)". The stretch from base 211 to 281 matches the Rfam family "MIR6151 microRNA precursor family". The record is from RNAcentral. Lineage: Eukaryota; Viridiplantae; Streptophyta; Magnoliopsida; Solanales; Solanaceae.
AAACGUGUCACUAUUCUUCUUCUUCAAAUAACCCACGCACUCAAGUCCAAUUCAGCCCAAAAUCUAUGGCGAGUUGCAUCAGUCUCUAACCCACGCGUCCUUCUAUCUCUCCUCCUGUUGUUGCUAACGGCUCCUGGUGCCAAGAUUCCUCCUCCUCCCUCUCGUUCAAUUUUUAGAGAAAAACACGCGAUUGGAAGGGUUUGGAAGACGAAAUGUUGGAUGAGUGUGAGUCGUUGGAUUGAUUUCACUCAAUCUAAGCCCCACAUUCAUCAAAGAUUGGUCUUCAAAAUAGAUUUUAUCCAAUUUUGUGAGGGAGGCGAAGAAAUGGAGAAAAAAGAAAAAAAAGGUUGGAAAGUUUUCCGUGAACAAAUGGUUUUUUCGGAGUUGUUUUUCUUGGACAAGGCCAUUGAAGUUUAAGAGAAGCAUAGACACAAUUUCUUCUUCUCAUUUUUCUAAAAUACGGAUUUGAGUUCUAAGAAGAUAAAAUUGAAGUUCAAGCUGGGUUUUACUGUCGUCUCACUGAUUUGUUGCUGAAUCUCGCUAGGAUUUGGAGUCCAGAAGUGUAUUGUCGAGCCUACAUUUGUUAUAAAAGGAAUUUGCAGCUUCAGGUUCAAUCUUCAUCUCUUUUGUUCUUGCAAUUCUGCUUCGUUUCAGUAUUAUUUUUUUUUGAGAUUCAGUCCAGGAUGAUUUGUUUGUGCUAUGAUCGAAUUUUUUGUGGACUAAGUUUGUUCUCAGUAAUGGUAUGUUUAUUCCAUCACUGUUAUUUUAUGUCGACUGGCCUACUUAAUAAUUUGUAAAGCUAUCCUGUUACGUCUGUUUAUUCUGUUAGCAUAAGCAUGCUCUAACUGGGAAUUUGAGACAUAGUUUUGCUUUGAUUCUGAACGCGAUAGUUUUGGUUUACUGUUUGAAUAAUCUUUCAUGAGAAGGAUGUCGGAGUUUUUUUUCAUUAGUCGAUUAGUUCAAGCAUGCUAGAGUUCAUCUUUUGCGCUAAAAGCGAUCUAGUGUUUGAAGCUACCCUCAUCCUUUUACUGUUAGCAACUUAUUAAAGCUCUAGUGUUUGAGGUUCUGAUGUUCAGAUUGUUGAAUCAAAAUCUUGUCCAUCUAAGUUUUGAAACAACUCUCUUGUUAACUGUCUAAGGAUUUAACAUUUUGCUUCAAGUUCAUUCAAAUGCGAGACCCUCUUCUGUUGCAACCUUUGAGUCAUAUGUGUUGCGUUGGUGAUGUUCUGCCCCGAGUUUAUAACGUGAUUUGAAGGAGUAUCCCAAGUUCAUUCAAAUGCAGGACCCUCUUCUGUUGCAACCUUUGAGUCAUAUGUGUUGCGUUUGUGAUGUUCUGCCCCGAGUUUAUAACGUGAUUUGAAGAAGUGUCAUGAUUUCCUUUGCUGAAACUUCACUCAUCUGUGUGUGCCAUCUCUAGUCUGCAUUUUUUUUUUAAAAAAAGAAGUGAAAAUAGAAACAUGUAUUGUUGGGCUGAAUCUGUUGAAGUUCCCUAUUGAUAAUAUUUGUUCUUUGUGGUUCACUAUGUUUGAGGGGAUUAAGUGAAUGCUCAUGUUUCCGGCAUGUUAAUUCCAUCACUGAUCUUUUUAGGCCAUUUUUACUUCAAUUAGUACUCCCUCCAUGCUCGAUUACUCCCUGAUAAAUAUAUGAUCAGUGAUUAGUUGGUUCAUUUCAUUCAAAAUUGGUUCGAUGUGUGUCUGGUUCUUAUGGUACUAUCGAGGUGAGGUCGUCUACUCUCAUUGUUAGGUUGCUUCUUAGCUAGCAACUUAUCUUGUUUCACCUUAAGAGGAUCCUGUGAGUUCAUUCGUGGUUAUAACUUGAUAGUUUGAAGAUAUUGAACUAAUUUGAAGCAUGAUUAGAACAAAUUGAUUUUAGUGUAUGUUCGUCUACUUCAUGAUUUCAGGAUUUUCGUUUGAUUCUGGGGCUUAGACGAAGGUGUGUUACUGAUUUUGCAUUGCUGAACGCCUCUCAUCUUCCCAUUCUCCCUUUACUCGGCUGAUGACACUUCUGUUUCUGUGGAUUGCAACUAGAUACUCAUUAAGCUACAUUGUGUUCAUG